AACAGGUGCAGCUCCAGCGAGGCGGUGCUCCCUGCUGGGUCAGAAGCCGCAGCUCAAGGAUCACCUGCGGAAGGUGGCAUUUCCCAAGACCGGAGCUUCCCGACAUCCCGCCACCUCCCGCAGCGCUGGUGCCAGUCCUGUCGGAUAAGGGGCAAGUGUAAGACCGGCCUCAUCAGCUCCAGCAAUUGUAACAAAGCGCCAUGGGCGGGGGCUUCAACACUAGAAAUUGUUCCCUCGCAGCCUGGGGGCUGGAAGUCCCAGACCAAGGGGCUGCUGGGCGGUUUCUCCCAAGGCCUAUUCAUGGCCCGCAGACGGUGGCUUCUCCUGUGUCCUCCCACGGCCGCUCCUCUGCACACACGCAUCCCUGGUGUCGCUUUCUCUUCUUACAAGGACACGUCCUAUUGGGUCAGGGCCUUCCUCACAACCUCAUUUAACCUUAAGUCCCUCCCUCAAGGUCCUAGCUCCAGAUACAGUCCCGUUGGGGCUGGGCCUCAGCUGCGAAUCUGGGGGCACGACUCAGUCGGCAGCUGUCUGUGUCCUGCAUGCGCCUCCACUGACCUUCCCAGGGUUCUCCCUGUGUCCUGGUGCUGCUUCUUCACCCAGAGCGCUGCCACCCACUGCUGAGCUUCAGACAUGUGACCUGCCCAGUCCCCUCUGCAAGCCCUGCACCUUCCUCAGUACCAACCAGCAAACCCGUGGCUGCACCGGGGCCAGCAGACACUCUCGGGCAGAGUGCUGGGCACCCUGGCCUCCUGGGCACCCUGGCGCUUGGCACCCUGGCCUCCUGGGCACCCUGGCGCUGGGAAACCUGGCCUCCUGGGCACCCUGGCGCUGGGAAACCUGGCCUCCUGGGCACCCUGGCGCUGGGAAACCUG
RNAcentral lists this long non-coding RNA (875 nucleotides) under Homo sapiens (human). RNAcentral's name for it is "HSALNT0083136". Lineage: Eukaryota; Metazoa; Chordata; Mammalia; Primates; Hominidae. The record is from RNAcentral.